UUCAAUGUUCACUCUAAACUGAUAUCUGCUAUUCCGCUUUGUUUCGUUUUUUCUUUGCAAAUAUCAUAUUCACAAGUCACUAAAGAGAGUGAAAUCCGAGGGUCAGCAAGUUUUUUGGCCUUGCACAGAGAGAGAGAGAGAGAGAAAUCUGAAGGUCGCUGCCACCAUUAGGCUAGUGUCCCACCACCGUCAGACUCAAAUUUUAAUGAUGGGGUUAUUCCACAAUGAAAUGGGCAACAACAGCUUUCAUUGGUCAAUUGAGCCACACGUGAAAGGAAAAGAUUUACUCUGACUGUGAUAUUGCUUCAAGUCCUUUCUCUUUUGGCCGAAUCAACUUAUAGAUAAAUAUUGACAAAUGGCAAGUGGUAGUUAUACAGUUGUCACAAAUCACAUGAAAUGUUGGUUGGGGUUAAAAAUAUAAGUCUUUGUUUCUACCUAUAUGUAUUAAUCCGAAGGAUAACACACUCUAUCAAGUCUAUGAAAUUCUAUAUGUAUUAUUUUUGUGAUCUUUUAACUUUAUGAAAUUCUAUGUCUGGUA
Quercus lobata is the source of this 538-nucleotide long non-coding RNA. RefSeq lists it as uncharacterized. Lineage: Eukaryota; Viridiplantae; Streptophyta; Magnoliopsida; Fagales; Fagaceae. The record is from RefSeq and is a predicted model, not a curated record. The transcript has 4 exons.